RNAcentral lists this ribosomal RNA (249 nucleotides) under Salmonella enterica. Its description in RNAcentral is "partial 16S ribosomal RNA". It matches the Rfam family "Bacterial small subunit ribosomal RNA", at positions 1 to 246 of the family's 1533-position model. The record is from RNAcentral. Lineage: Bacteria; Pseudomonadati; Pseudomonadota; Gammaproteobacteria; Enterobacterales; Enterobacteriaceae. RNAcentral also lists the same sequence under 2 other names.
AAAUUGAAGAGUUUGAUCAUGGCUCAGAUUGAACGCUGGCGGCAGGCCUAACACAUGCAAGUCGAACGGUAACAGGAAGCAGCUUGCUGUUUUGCUGACGAGUGGCGGACGGGUGAGUAAUGUCUGGGAAACUGCCUGAUGGAGGGGGAUAACUACUGGAAACGGUGGCUAAUACCGCAUAACGUCGCAAGACCAAAGAGGGGGACCUUCGGGCCUCUUGCCAUCAGAUGUGCCCAGAUGGGAUUAGCU